CUUGGUCAUUUAGAGGAAGUAAAAGUCGUAACAAGGUUUCCGUAGGUGAACCUGCGGAAGGUUCAUUCACAAACGAGUGUUUUAUGGCACUCUUUAAAAAUCCAUAUCCACCUUGUGUGCAAUGUUUGUUGGGAAAGUCUUUUCUUUCCCUUCAUAAAUAUCAACCUAUAUCUUUAACAACAUUCGUCUGAUAACAUAUUAUGAAUAUACUUAAUUCAAAAUAUAACUUUCAACAACGGAUCUCUUGGCUCUCGCAUCGAUGAAGAACGCAGCGAAAUGCGAUACGUAAUGUGAAUUGCAGAAUUCAGUGAAUCAUCGAAUCUUUGAACGCAUAUUGCGCUCUUUGGUAUUCCGAAGAGCAUGCUUGUUUGAGUAUCAGUAAACACCUCAACCUCUCUUUUUGACAAAAAAAGGGAGGGUGGACUUGAGCUAUCCCAACGACCUUCACCGGUAGGCGGGCGGCUUGAAAUGCAGGUGCAGCUGGACUUUUAUCUGAGCUAAAAGCAUAUCUAUUUAGUCCUCGUCAAACAGGAUUAUUACUUUUGCUGCAGCUAACAUAAAGGAUAAUUGUCCUCUUUGCUGACUGAUGCAGGAUUUUACGACACUUUAUGUGUUGUUCAACUCGAUCUCAAAUCAAGUAAGACUACCCGCUGAACUUAAGCAUAUCAAUAAGCGGAGGA
Molecule: ribosomal RNA, 680 nt
Filed under: uncultured Mortierella
Lineage: Eukaryota; Fungi; Mortierellomycota; Mortierellomycetes; Mortierellales; Mortierellaceae
Description: eukaryotic LSU rRNA
Rfam family: 5.8S ribosomal RNA (bases 225-378)
Source: RNAcentral